GUUUUUUUUUGCCUAUUUCAGAGUUUCGCAGAAAAAGAAUAUCAAACGGAGUCCAAACGGAAUGAAACCUUCGGGAACGUGAUUUUCGGAACGAACGUGAUCCAGAGGACUUGGACCCUACGUCAAGACAUCAACCAGGAAGGCACGAGGUAGGGGGCGCGCCCUCCACCCUCGUGGGCCCCACGUUGCUCCACCGACGUACUUCUUCCUCCUAUAUAUACCUACGUACCCCCAAAGUACCAGAUACGGAGCCAAAAUCUAAUUCCACCGCCGCAACCUUCUAUACCCGUGAGAUCCCAUCUUGGGGCCUUUUCCGGAGCUCCGUCGGAGGGGGCAUCGAUCACGGAGGGCUUCUACAUCAACACUAUAGCCUCUCCGAUGAUGUGUGAGUAGUUUACUUCAGAUCUUCGGGUCCAUAUUUAUUAGCUAGAUGGCUUCUUCUCUCUUUUUGGAUCUCAAUAAAAUGUUCUCCCCCUCUCUCAUGGAGAUCUAUUCGAUGUAAUCUUCUUUUGCGGUGUGUUUGUUGAGACCGAUGAAUUGUGGGUUUAUAAUCAAGUUUAUCUAUGAACAAUAUUUUGAAUUUUCUCUGAAUUCUUCUAUGUAUGAUUGGUUAUCUUUGCAAGUCUCUUCGAAUUAUCAGUUUGGUUUGGCCUACUAGAUUGAUCUUUCUUGCAAUAGGAGAAGUGCUUAGCUUUGGGUUCAAUCUUGCGGUGUCCUUUCCCAGUGACAGUAGGGGCAGCAAGGCACGUAUUGUAUUGGUGCCAUCGAGGCUAACAAGAUGGGGUUUAUAUCAUAUUGCAUGAGUUUAUCCCUCUACAUCAUGUCAUCUUACUUAAAGCGUUACUCUGUUCUUAUGAAUUUAAUAGUCUAGAUGCAUGCUGGAUAGCGGUCGGUGUGUGGAGUAAUAGUAGUAGAUGCAGGCAGGAGUCGGUCUACUUGUCUCGGACGUGAUGCCUAUAUACAUGAUCAUACCUAGAUAUUCUCAUACCUAUGCUCAAUUCUGUCAAUUGCUCAACAGUAAUUUGUUCACCCGCCGUAAUACUUAUGCUCUCGAGAGAAGCCACUAGUGAAACCUAUGGCAUCGGGGUCUAUUUUCUAUCAUAUUAAUCUUCCAACACUUAGCUAUUUUCUAUCAUAUUAAUCUUCCAACACUUAGCUAUUUUUAUUGCCUUUUAUUUUACUUUGCAUCUUUAUCAUAAAAAUACCAAAAAUAUUAUCUUCUCAUAUCUACCAGAUCUCACUCUCGUAGGUGACCGUGAAGGGAUUGACAACCCCUUUAUUGCGUUGGUUGCGAGGAUUUAUUUGUUUGUGUUGGUGCGAGGGACUCGUGCGUGGCCUCCUACUGGAUUGAUACCUUGGUUCUCAAAAACUGAGGGAAAUACUUACGCUGCUUUACUGCAUCACCCUUUCCUCUUAACCAACGCAGUGCUCAAGAGGUAGCAAGAAGGAUUUCUGGCGCCGUUGCCGGGGAGUCUCUGCAAAAGUCAACAUACCAAGUACCCAUCACAAACCCUUAUCUCCCGCAUUACAUUAUUUGCCAUUUGCCUCUCGUUUUGCUCUCCCCCACUUCACCCUUGCCGUUUUAUUCGCCCUCUCUUUUCCGUUCGCCUCUUUUUCGCUCGCUUCUUGUUUGCUCGUGUGUUGGGUUGCUUGCUUGCGCGAUGGCUCAAGAUAAUACUAAAUUGUGUGACUUCACCAAUACCAACAACAAUGAUUUCCUUAGCACUCCGAUUGCUCCUCUUACCGAUACUGAAUCUUGUGAAAUUAAUGCUGCUUUGUUGAAUCUUGUCAUGAAAGAUCAAUUCGCCGGCCUUCCUAGUGAAGAUGCCGCUACCCAUCUAAAUGGCUUCGUUGAUUUGUGUGAUAUGCAAAAGAAGAAAGAUGUGGACAAUGAUAUUGUUAAAUUGAAACUAUUUCCUUUUUCACUUAGAGAUCGUGCUAAAGCUUGGUUUUCGUCUUUGCCUAAAAAUAGUAUUGAUUCAUGAAAUAAGUGCAAAGAUGCUUUUAUCUCUAAGUAUUUUCCUCCCGCUAAAAUCAUCUCUCUUAGAAACGACAUCAUGAAUUUUAAGCAACUUGAUCAUGAACAUGUUGCACAAUCUUGGGAGAGGAUGAAAUUAAUGAUACGUAAUUGCCCUACACAUGGUUUGAAUUUGUGGAUGAUUAUACAAAAUUUUUAUGCCAGAUUGAAUUUUGCUUCUAGAAAUCUUUUAGAUUCGGCCGUGGGAGGCACUUUUAUGGAAAUCACUUUAGGAGAAGCUACUAAACUCCUAGAUAAUAUUAUGGUUAAUUAUUCUCAAUGGCACACUGAAAGAUCUACUAAUAAAAAAGUGCAUGCAAUAGAAGAAAUUAAUGUUUUGAGUGGAAAGAUGGAUGAACUUAUAAAAUUAUUUGCUACUAAAAGUGUUUCUUCUGAUCCUAAUGAUAUGCCUUUAUCUACUUUGAUUGAGAAUAGUAAUGAAUCUAUGGAUGUGAAUUUUGUUGGUAGGAAUAAUUUUGGUAACAACGCGUAUAGAGGAAACUUUAAUCCUAGGCCGUACCCUAGUAAUUCCUCUAAUAAUUAUGGUAAUUCUUACAACAACUCUUAUGUAAAUUUUAAUAAGAGGCCCUCUGAAUUUGAGACUAGUGUUAAGGAGUUUAUGAAUUCGCAAAAGAAUUUCAAUGCUUUGCUUGAAGAAAAAUUGCUUAAAGUUGAUGAAUUCGCUAGGAACGUUGAUAGAAUUUCUCUUGAUGUUGAUUCCUUGAAACUUUGAUCUAUCCCACCUAAGAAUGAUAUCAAUGAGUCUCUCAAAGCCAUGAGAAUUUCCAUUGAUGAGUGCAAAUAAAGAACCGCUAGGAUGCGUGCUAAGAAAGAUUGCUUUGUAAAAGCGUGUUCUUCUAGUUUCUAUGAAAAUAAAGAUGAAGAUCUAAAAGUUAUUGAUGUGUCCCCUAUUAAAUCUUUGUUUCGCAAUAUGAAUCUUGAUAAUGAUGGGACUGAAUAUGAUCCACCUUUACCUAGGAGGCGUUCCAAAAAUUCAGAGUUUUUAGAUCUUGAUGCUAAAAUUGAUAAAAGUGAGAUUGAAGAAGUUAAACCUUUAGAUCUCAAUGAACCCACUACUUUGGAUUUCAAGGAAUUUAAUUAUGAUAAUUUCUCUUUGAAAGAUUGUAUUUCCUUGUUGCAAUCCAUGCUAAAUUCCCCACAUGCUUAUAGUCAACAUAAAGCUUUUACUAAACAUAUCGUUGAUGCUUUGAUGCAAUCUUAUGAAGAAAAACUUGAGUUGGAAGUUUCUAUCCCUAGAAAACUUUAUGAUGAGUGGGAACCUACUAUUAAAAUUAAAAUUAAAGAUCAUGAAUGCUAUUCUUUGUGUGAUUUGGGUGCUAGUGUUUCCACGAUCCCAAAAACUUUGUGCGAUUUGCUUGGUUUCCAUGAUUUUGAUGAUUGCUCUCUAAACUUACACCUUGCGGAUUCCACCAUUAAGAAACCUAUGGGAAGAAUUAAUGAUGUUCUUAUUGUUCCAAAUAGGAAUUAUGUGCCCGUAGAUUUUAUUGUUCUUGAUAUAGAUUGCAAUCCUUCAUGUCCUAUUAUUCUUGGUAGACCUUUCCCUAGAACGAUUGGUGCAAUUAUUGAUAUGAAGGAAGGGAAUAUUAGAUUCCAAUUUCCGUUAAGGAAAGGCAUGGAACAAUUACCUAGAAAUAAAAUAAAAUUACCUUAUGAAUCUAUUAUGAGAGCCACGUAUGGAUUGCCUACCAAAGAUGGCAAUUCCUAGAUCUAUCCUUGCUAUUAUGCCUAGCUAGGGGCGUUAAACGAUAGCGCUUGUUGUGAGGCAACCCAAUUUUAUUUUUAGUUUUUUUGAUUUUUGCUUCUGUUUAGGAAUAAAUAUUUGAUCUAGCCUCUAGUUAGAUUUGUUUUUAUGUUUUAAUUACUGUUUGUGCCAAGUUUAACCUAUAGGAUCUUCUUGGAUGAUAGUUAUUUGAUCUUGCUGAAAAUUCCAGAAACUUUCUGUUCACGAAAAUAAUUGUUAAAAAUCACCAGAACGUGAUAAAAUAUUGAUUCGAAUUGCUGAUGAUCAAUAAACAAAUUGUCUAGGUCUUCCUAUUUUGGCUGAAUUUAUGGAGUUCCAGAAGUUUGCGUUAGUUACAGAUUACUACAGACUCUUCUGUUUUUGACAGAUUCUGUUUUUCUUGUGUUGUUUGCUUAUUUUGAUGAAUCUAUGGCUGGUAAAAUAGUUUAUAAACAAUAGAGAAGUUGGAAUACAGUAGGUUUAACACAAAUAUAAAUAAAGAAUGAGUUCAUUACAGUACCUUGAAGUGGUGUUUUGUUUUCUUUCGCUAACGGAGCUCACGAGAUUUUCUGCUGUGUUUUGUGUUGUGAAGUUUUCAAGUUUUGGGUGAAAGAUUUGAUGGAUUAUGGAACAAGGAGUGGCAAGAGCUUAAGCUUGGGGAUGCCCAAGGCACCCCAAGAUAAUCUAAGGACACCUAAAAUCCAAAGCUUGGGGAUGCCCCGGAAGGCAUCCCCUCUUUCGUCUACUUCCAUCGGUAACUUUACUUGGAGCUAUAUUUUUAUUCACCACAUGAUAUGUGUUUUGCUUGGAGUGUCUUGUAUUAUUUUAGUCUUUGCUUUUUAGUUUACCAUAAUCAUCCUUGCUGUACACACCUUUUGAUGAGAGACACACAUGAUUCAGAAUUUAUUAGAAUACUCUAUGUGCUUCACUUAUAUCUUUUGAGCUAUAUAAUUUUUGCUCUAGUGCUUCACUUAUAUCUUUUAGAGCACGACGGUGGUUUUGUUUUAUAGAAACUAUUAUUCUCUCAUGCUUCACUUAUAUUAUUUUGAGAGUCUUAAACAGCAUGGUAAUUUGCUUAAAUUGGGAAAUUAAUCCUAAUUUGUUAGGAAUUCAAGAUUAGUAAAAAAAACUUUCUUAUGAGUGUGCUGAAUGCUAAGAGAAGUUUGAUGCUUGAUGAUUGUUUUGAGAUAUGGAGGUAGUGAUAUUAAAGUUGUGCUAGUUGAGUAGUUGUGAAUUUGAGAAAUACUUGUGUUGAAGUUUGCAAGUCCCGUAGCAUGCACGUAUGGUAAACGUUAUGUAACAAAUUUGAAGUAUGAGGUGUUCUUUGAUUGUCCUCCUUAUGAGUGGCGGUCGGGGACGAGCGAUGGUCUUUUCCUACCAUUCUAUCCCCCUAGGAGCAUGCGCGUAGUGCUUGGUUUUUGAUGACUUGUAGAUUUUUUCAAUAAGUAUGUGAGUUCUUUAUGACUAAUGUUGAGUCCAUGGAUUAUACGCACUCUUACCCUUCCAUCAUUGCUAGCCUCUUCGGUACCGUGCAUUGCCCUUUCUCACAUUGAGAGUUUGUGCAAACUUCGCCGGUGCAUCCAAACCCCGUGAUAUGAUACGCUCUUUCACACAUAAACCUCCUUAUAUCUUCCUCAAAACAGCCACCAUACCUACCUAUUAUGGCAUUUCCAUAGACAUUCCGAGAUAUAUUGCCAUGCAACUUUCCACCGUUCCGUUUAUCAUGACACGUUCAUCAUUGUCAUAUUGCUUUGCAUGAUCAUGUAGUUGACAUCGUAUUUGUGGCAAGGCCACCAUUCAUAAUUUUUCAUACAUGUCACUCUUGAUUCAUUGCUAUCCCGGUAUACCGCCGGAGGCAUUCAUAUAGAGUCAUACUUUGUUCUAGUAUCGAGUUGUAAUCAUUGAGUUGUAAAUAAAUAGAAGUGUGAUGAUCAUCAUUCAUAGAGCAUUGUCCCAAUAAAAAAAGAAAAAAAGAGAAAGGCCAAAAAAAGAAGGCCCAAAAAAAGGGGGACAAUGCUACUAUCCUUUUUCCACACUUGUGCUUCAAAGUAGCACUAUGAUCUUCAUGAUAGAGAGUCUCUUGUUUUGUCACUUUCAUAUACUAGUGGGAAUUUUUAAUUAUAGAACUUGGCUUGUAUAUUCCAACAAUGGGCUUCCUCAAAUGCCCUAGGUCUUCGUGAGGAAGCAAGUUGGAUGCACACCCACUUAGUUUCUUUUGUUGAGCUUUCAUGCAUUUAUAGCUCUAGUGCAUUCGUUGCAUGGCAAUCCCUACUCCUUGCAUUAACAUCAAUCGAUGGGCAUCUCCAUAGCUCAUUGAUUAGCCGCGUUGAUGUGAGACUUUCUCCUUUUUUGUCUUCUCCACAUAACCCCAUCAUUAUAUUCUAUUCCACCCAUAGUGCUAUAUCCAUGGCUCACGCUCAUGUAUUGCGUGAAGGUUGAAAAAGUUUGAGAUUACUAAAGUAUGAAACAAUUGCUUGGCUUGUCAUCGGGGUUGUGCAUGAUGAGAGCAUUCUUGUGUGACAAAAAUGGAGCAUGACUAAACUACAUGAUUUUGUAGGGAUGAACUUUCUUUGGCCAUGUUAUUUGAGAGGACAUAAUUGCUUAGUUAGUAUGCUUGAAGUAUUAUUACUUUUAUGUCAAUAUUAAACUUUUAUCUUGAAUCUUUCGGAUCAGAAUAUUCAUACCAUAAUUAAGAGAAUUACAUUGAAAUUAUGCUAAGUAGCAUUCCACAUCAAAAAUUCUGUUUUUAUCAUUUACCUACUCGAGGACGAGCAGGAAUUAAGCUUGGGGAUGCUUGAUACGUCUCCAACGUAUCUAUAAUUUUUGAUUGUUCCAUGCUAUAUUAUAUUCUGUUUUGGACAUUAUCGGGCUUUAUUAUACACUUUUAUAUUGUUUCUGGGACUAACCUAUUAACCGGAGGCACAACCCAGAAUUGCUGUUUUUUUGCCUAUUUCAGAGUUUCGCAGAAAAAGAAUAUCAAACGGAGUCUGUCGGGGAUAUAUCCCGCGGUAUGACCCGGCCGGAAUUGGCGACUCACUGGUGACCUGCCCGGAGCUUGGCGAUUCACAGAUAACCUGCCCAAUCUUGGCGACUCAUCAGUAACCCGGCGGGCGGGUCAGAUGGACAACAAGGCUCAAAGCCCAGAAGGCCGGCUCACGUUAUGAUGGGCCGGAUUAAGAGGAAAGGGAUGACGAAUAUUUCCUUUACGAGGAAGUAAGACCCGGACUUGUAAUUAACUUGUAAGAGAAGAUAGACUAGUCCUAGUCCUACUAGGACUCCACAUGUAACCCGCCCCUCUAACUUAUAUAAGGAGGGGCAGGGCACCCCAAAGAGGGACAAGCAACAAGAAAUAAUCUCUAGGGAUAAACACCGAGAGCAGGAGCCGGCGACUCUCCCGUGAUCAUAAUGAGACCUAGCCUCAACAGCAUGUAGGGUUGUUACCGGAUGAUGUUUCCCGGGGCCCGAAGCUGUCUAAACCCUUGUCUUGUGCGUUGAUCCGCCCUGCGUCUCUCAUCCCAAUCAACCCCUCUCAAGCUACUACAUAGAUGCGCUGGCCUCACGACUAAGUCCUCACGCUAAGGACAUCUGCCGUGACAAUUCCACGACAGUUGGCGCCCACCGUGGGGCAGCCACGGUGGUGUUGAGUUCUUGGAGGGAUUUCUUCAGGGAUCGAGAAACUCACAGUGUGUCGGACGAAAAGAGCCGGCGCUGAAGAUAACAUCAUCGACAAACAGUCAAAGCGAGAGAUCAAGAGAAAAAUAGGGUUGUGUUUAUGCGCUGGCGCACAUGAUCAGAGGAUCCGUUGAGGCCGGGUUAAUUUCCGUGGCCGCUGCAAGUCGAAGUCCCGCAUCUGACAUCAACUGAUACAAGGUACAAGUCGUCGAGACCGACAGGUUUCGUGGGCUCCGUCAUCCGUGUCUAAAUCCAAUUUGGAGCAUCAGAUUCCCUUGCUAUUGCAUGGCGUGGCUCCCUAGGCCUGCUGCCAACUCCUCAACGGACCAAGGCCAACGCCUCGUGCACGUGGACCAACAAUGCAAAGGAUCGCGACGCAAUCUAUUGAAACCAACAGAAGAUUGACUUUGUUUGUAUGCGAGUCCGGCAAGCUGUCAAAUAGUAAUUUCCGUCGAGACCGACAAAAAUUUCUGCGGUCUGAUCCGCCGAGUUGCGCAAAGUUUCUGCUACCAGGUUUCAGGUUCGGAGUACUGGAGUACUAGUCCUGUACACUUUGUACUUUUUCUACUCUACGUGAGAUCUACUCAAGGUCAACCAGAGUAUUAGUACAUAUACAUGCUCACGGAGAUUUAAGAGACAAAUCGAUUGUUACAUCAAGAGCCACUACCGAGUCAUCCUCAUGGGAAGAAGACAAAAAUUGCCUGCAGUUUUGGAAGUGGAGAAAGCCCGGGAAUCAGUCUCCGCCUCCGCCUCAGCCGCCAGGGCCACGUCAUCGGGCCGGCCGCAGCUUGCCAUCGCCUCUGCCGUCUCAAGCAGCGGGAGAUCCGCUGUCGCCUCUGUUUCAAGUCGCCUCGGUUGACCUACUGUCAGUCUGAGUCGCCCCGGUCAAGCGGUCUGUCCGCCCCUGAGCCACCGCGCCUGUUCCUUUUCGACUCUGAGCCGGACGCGCCUCCAAUAGCCUCGAGGUGACCCUUUCAUCAGCCGCCUCCAUUGCGGCGCGCCUGGUCCUCCGUUGGCCAAACCGCCCUACGGGCGUCCUCUGCUUCGGCCCUCGCGGCCCUCAGGACUGCGCCCCGUUGUGACGGCGCUGCUCCACCCAGCGGGCUUGCACGCACCUUUCUUUCCUCUCCCGUGCGGACCUCGCGACGAGGCACCAGAUCCAGCUGCUGCCCUCGAAACCGGCUACUGCCUCGCGCUUUGUCGGUCUACUUUAUCCCAUCGCUGUAAGAAGUUGUUGCAGGUUGUUAAGGUGGUUUCAAGACCAGCAAAGAUGCUCCACGUGAAAAGCAAGGAAAAAGUACUGGCAUGCAUGUACGCUGCAUACAGGAUACGUGGAGCUAAAAAAAGGGACAACUACUACUUCGUCUUAGUCUACUAGUGCUGCUUCUCACAAAGAGGUCAAGAGCCAUUAUCAGCUCACACAAAAAAAGGGGAGGAAAUACUGGUGACCCAUAUAUCUCAGUUAAUUCCUACAGUGCAUGCAGAUCAUCUGCCGUUCGCAAACAUCAGGUGAUAUCCAUCUAAAUUUAUCUUAUUAACACUUAUUAUUUUUUGUCAAAGAACAAUUACUCUGUCCUGUAAUAUUUUUACACAGGACAAUUUUUAUGCCAUUCACGGACACGUGUAUGACGGUCCGGUUGACAUCAACAUACGGCCGACUCACACGUCCGCACCGGCUUACAGUGCCAUGGCCGGCUCAUCUGUUGCCCGGGCGAAUCAGGUGAUAUUCAUCCAAGUUUGUUCUUAACACAUAGUAUUUUUGUCAAAGAGCAGCUUAUCUUUGCCUUGGUCUGCACUAUUGUUGAUGCAGGACAUUUGUUCACUACGUUAAAACAAACAUGGUUGACUCGCUCGCGCCGGUUUACAGCGUCGCAGCCGGUUCAUCUGUUUGAGCUGCCUCUGACGCGGCGGUCUCUUUUCCAUCUGUCUAUUGCGGCCGGGUCUACAUCGACACACCAGGACUGCACCUGUCUGCAUGAGCGGAUUAUUGAAUAUGAGCAAGUCACUGCUUGGGAAGCCCGAUUUUCUUCCAACAGCUUAGAGGAAAAUUGUCAUGUGUUAUCAGCCGUCGUCGGCAUUGGACGGCUCAAUGGGCAUGCGCACAAGUCGCCGCCGCUACAGUUUGGUUAACUUCAAAACGUCCAGUUGGAAGGAACCAUUGGCCGAGUUGCUGACACGGCUCAUACGGGAUCAUUUAUAACACGCCGCAGUCACCUCAACCUUCUGUGGAUUCACAUUGCGUUAUCAACACCAGUGAUAUACACCUUAUGCUAUGGUCAAUAUGGAGAAUCUCAAGCCAACUCCUCGAGUCGUCUGGAGACUCGGGGGCUACAAUGAUAUGACUCGGCAGCAUUGGUCGGUUUCAAUGCAAUCAAGAACUCCGGGUCAUUGGAGGGAAAAAUAACCCGGUCCUGGAGGCUACCGCCAUAUUGGUAAAAAGUUUAAAGGCCGUCAGAAAAUUUCUGGCUUAAAAAGAAGGAGUCUGGUCUAAAUCCGGCGCAAGAGACUUGGCAUCUCCCACAAGGCAUUGAAGCUCUUAAUAUCCGGUUUAAAAUCCGGUUCAGAAAAAUUUAUCUGCCACAAAGCUUUGAAGCUCUCAAAUCCGGUUCAAAAUCCGGUUCAAGGUAAAUUUGUCUAUCACAAAACUUUGAAACUCUCAAUAUCUGGUUUAAGAAUUUCCGGUUCAAAAAGAAUUUAUCUCUCGCAAAGUUCGAGUUCUCAGGGAAAAUUAAAGGGACCAAAGAGUCUGUUACAAAGCACAACUCAAACAUAGGUACUCUACUUUAAGGACCAUUGGGAGCUGAUCGUAUUCGAAUUUAGCUUAACCCUUUGGUGGUGUGACCCUGAUCGUAUUCGAAUCAGAGUCGUUAAAUAUUCUCAUGAUCACUAGGGGGGCUUCCUGUUCAAACAUAGGUCGUAUUCGAACCAAAGAGAACAUAGCUGUCUGUACCCUCUUGAUCGGCACACUGCCGAGCUCACUAGGGGGCUUCUUGAUCGUAUUCGAAUCAUAGCUCAACCCCUCUUGGGAACCGACGUGGAUCGUAUUCGAAUCAGCGUCGUUAAACAACUCUCAAGGUCAUUUGGGGACUUCCUGUUCAAACAUAGGUCGUAUUCGAACCAAAGAGAACAUAGCUGUCGGUACCCUCUUGAUCGGCAACGCCAAAGCCACUGGGGGCUAUAUGAUCGUAUUCGAAUCUUAGCUUAACCCCUUUGGGACGGUUUUCUGAUCGUAUUCGAAUUAGAAGCCUCAAAAUUUUUGAAGUCUCUUUUUGCAAAUAAUUUUUGGGAUUUUAUUUGAAGCUCUUUUGAACACAUCUAAAGUGUACAUGAGUGGUUUCUAUUUAAACCCGGCUUGAUUUUCGAUGAUAAGUCGCCGGCUUAUAACAAUCAUCAUCUAUGUGGAAGCAUUGGCUUCUAAAGAUUGGGUUAUCACACUUACUGCACAGGUAUCAUAAGCCGGCAGUACAAUUCAAUAUCACAGGUAUGAUAUUGUUUAUACAUGAUUAUGUUUAAACCGGCCCUGGCUAUGGACUUUAAGCCGCCGGUAUGUUUUGAAUUGCGCUGUUGGAAUCAUGCGCGUAUCAAAGAUUGGGUUAUCACACUUACUGCACAGGUCAUGUAAACCGGCAGUACAAAUUCAAUAUCACAAUGGUUCUAUAUAAGAUAUUAUGACCCGCCCUGCGGUAAACCGUCAAGGGAUUUUGUGAUCUACUUGUGUGCAGGAUAAGACUACAUUUGGGUGGUUACCCGCCCUGGCUUUUAACGUUAAGUCGCCAGGGCAUAUGUUGUUUAAACUCUGUGCAGGAUUUACAGAGCUAUGACUUGCAUAAAUGAUUAAGUUCAAGCCCAUCAUCAAAGAUUAAAAUUGGUGUCUCAAAAGGGUUAUCAAUUCUUGAUUUUCUCAAAGGCUAUAAGCCGCCGGGUUAUAAAAAUUCCGGUUUACAAUGGAGGCGUAUUAAAUCGUCAUCGGCCAAGAGCCGCCGGGUAUUUAAACUCCGGGUUUACUUAUCAACCGAUGAGGUAUUCAAAGUCGCUUUGGCGCAAUGUCUAUUAUUUUAUCAAUGGAUAUAAUUUAUUCUACAAUGGAAGGAAUAGUCCCGGGUCACUGCAGGCUUACGACCCGACACUUGGGGGCUACAUUAUUCAAGGUUGAGAUUACAUCAAAUAUGCAAGUCCCAUGUCACUGCCAGCAUGCACCAUGGCACUUGGGGGCUAAUGCAAAGUUAUUUUUACUGGCCUUAUUGAAGACCCGACUCAUCACAUUGUAAUGAGCCGGCCCUUGGGGGCUACCAAUUGCUCCUGUCAACAAUUCAGGGUACACAAGUUUAAAUCCAUUAUAUUGAAAGGUCCACUACUCAGUUGGAAGAGUACAAAGCUCUUAACCUUAUGGACGUGGGUUCGGGCCCCAUGGAGAGGAUUACAACAUAUGGUAUUAUUUUCAAGGAAAUAUAUAUAAAGUCCCAGCUCAAUAUUAUCUUACUGAGCCGGCCCUUGGGGGCUACAUGUUGCUGCUCAACUCUACAUCUACAAAGUCCCUGCUCAUUAUUGCAUAAUGACCCGGCCCUUGGAGGCUACACCGGUUGAAGUUUUGUGAGCAUAAGACAAUUACAAGUGCCAGGUUGAUACAAGCAUGACAACCCGUCACUUGGGGGCUACAGGUGACACGGAUAUAAGGAGAAAUACUUUCGAAUUCUUAGUUUUUGAGCAAAUCAGAUUGACCCGGCGUCACCAAUCAUUAUGACCUGGUGUCUGCAACAAUCAUAGCCCGGCGUCAUCAACAAUUAUGACCCGGCGUCGGCAACAAUUAUGACUCGGUGCCAUCAAUAUUUACAAACCGACAAUUUUGGUAAUAUUAAACCGGCAAGUUCUACAUCUUUAAACCGGCUGAAUAUCAGAUGAGUAUUUCAAGACCAAUAUUUCUUAAGCCGGUGCUUUGGAAACCGAUUCAAGUGGAUUGUUUCUUACAAUAUUUCUCUACAAGAGACCAAUGCCAGCAAAUUGACUCUGAAGCUGGCCUAUUGACCCGGAUUUCUCAAAAGAAGUAUCUGGAUUUUUUGCAUUCACAAAGUUUGAACAUAUCUACUAAAGGAGAUUUUCUAUGAGUUCAUGGGCAUGUAUCAAGAAAGAAAUGACAAGGAUUUGAAGAUGAUCAGGUGCCGGCUUACAAAAUUUAACCCGGAGCACAACCUAUCAAGUUUGUUCUUGUGUUUAUUUUACAGGAUCAGUUUAACAUGGAUAAAUCCAAAUUAAACUGGGGGCUAAUGUCGGGGAUAUAUCCCGCGGUAUGACCCGGCCAGAAUUGGCGACUCACUGGUGACCUGCCCGGAGCUUGGCGAUUCACAGAUAACCUGCCCGAUCUUGGCGACUCAUCAGUAACCCGGCGGGCGGGUCAGAUGGACAACAAGGCUCAAAGCCCAGAAGGCCGGCUCAUGUUAUGAUGGGCCGGAUUAAGAGGAAAGGGAUGACGAAUAUUUCCUUUACGAGGAAGUAAGACCCGGACUUGUAAUUAACUUGUAAGAGAAGAUAGACUAGUCCUAGUCCUACUAGGACUCCACAUGUAACCCGCCCCUCUAACUUAUAUAAGGAGGGGCAGGGCACCCCAAAGAGGGACAAGCAACAAGAAAUAAUCUCUAGGGCUAAACACCGAGAGCAGGAGCCGGCGACUCUCCCGUGAUCAUAAUGAGACCUAGCCUCAACAGCACGUAGGGUUGUUACCGGAUGAUGUUUCCCGGGGCCCGAAGCUGUCUAAACCCUUGUCUUGUGCGUUGAUCCGCCCUGCGUCUCUCAUCCCAAUCAACCCCUCUCAAGCUACUACAUAGAUGCGCUGGCCUCACGACUAAGUCCUCACGCUAAGGACAUCUGCCGUGACAAUUCCACGACAGAGUCCAAACGGAAUGAAACCUUCGGGAACGUGAUUUUCGGAACGAACGUGAUCCAGAGGACUUGGACCCUAUGUCAAGACAUCAACCAGGAAGGCACGAGGUAGGGGGCGCGCCUACCCCCCUGGGCGCGCCCUCCACCCUCAUGGGCCCCACGUUGCUCCACCGACGUACUUCUUCCUCCUAUAUAUACCUACGUACCCCCAAACUACCAGAUACGGAGCCAACACCUAAUUCCACCGCCGCAAGCUUCUGUACCCGUGAGAUCCCAUCUUGGGGCCUUUUUCGGAGCUCCGUCGGAGGGGGCAUCGAUCACGGAGGGCUUCUACAUCAACACCAUAGCCUCUUCGAUGAUGUGUGAGUAGUUUACUUCAGACCUUCGGGUCCUGUUGAGGAUAUAGACCUUAGAGUCACCCACCAGGGGGGGGGCGGGUUACUCAUAUGGUCGUUGCCAGAAGCCCGGAGCCAAGCUUGAAGACGAUGGGCCAGAGAUGGGCUAAGACCCGGAUGUGGCUUAAAGCCCAUAGUUACAAUCAUUAUUAUGGUUAAACUUGUAGCAUAAGGCAAGUAUAGUUGAGAGUCCGAGCUGGACACUCUUUAUGAGCCGGCCGGGAUUCUAAGGGCUGCUGGGCGUUUUCCUCCCUAUAUAAAGGGACGACCCGGCAGCGGUUUAGGGACGACAACAAUCUCAUCGAGAGCCGGGCAUAGCAGUUUAGCUCCCUGGUGAUCGUAACCCUAAUCGAUACCAUCUCAACCGGACGUAGGCUUUUACCUUCACCGUAAGGGGCCGAACCAGUAUAAACCCUCGUGUUCCUUGUCCCACAUUAACCCCUUCAAUCUUCCUAGUCGCGAUGGCUCCACGACUAAGUCCUAGCUCGAGGACAUCUGCCGUGACAAUUCCACGACAGUUGGCGCCCACCGUGGGGCCAGCGCACGGUGGAUUUGAGUUCUUGAAGGGCAGCUUCGAAGGGCUCAAGGGAUACGCGGUGGGCCGGAUGACCAAGAGUCAUCGCGGCAAGCUCUACAUCGACGAUGCAAACUGGGGCCCCGACGCCGGCUCAAUUGAGUACGGGUACCGGGUCCACUUCGGUGGAAUUCAUGUCUUCAUUGGCAAGAUGGGUGAGCCGGGACCUGAGCCGGAUCUCUGCGCCGAUCUCAUCGAAACGGCUCAGCGCGCACGACCGGUCCGGGCCCGGCCUGCCUUAAGGCGCGCUUUUGUGGGAUGCAUCCAUGGAGGGCCCUCUGAUCUAGCUGGGUCUGGUGAUGAGACGGCCGUCGGCUCUGACGGCGAGUCAGCCACCGAUGAGUCAAACUCGUUGUACCAACUUCAGGAUGGCAGGCUCAUGGGUUGUUCCGAUGGUGAUAGUAUUCCGGACCUAUUUGAGCCGCCAAGUCAGGUUGGAGUUUUCAUGGCUGGAGCACAGCCUGUUCAGAACCCCGCUGCUGGAGCGGGAACCCCGGUGCCUUCGCCGGCUCAGGUGCUAAUGGAUCUCACGGACAAGAUGACGGCGCUGUUAACCGCCACGGUUGACCCGGCGGAUCAAGCUCGGCAUGACGCGGAGGUGGCACAGUUAAAAUUGGAUCUAGUGAAGGCUAAAGAGGAUCUUGCAGCGGAAGGGAUCAGACUGGCUACAGAGAGGGCGGCUCUCGAUGCCCAAACCCAGCUGAUCCAGGCGCAGUCCUUCCAACUCACGAUGGAUCAAAACGCGGCCAAUGAGGUCCUGAGAAGGAGGCACCAAAAGGCCCAAUCUCGACUCCCUCCGGUUUACGAUCCACGCAUUCUCUUCAACACACCAGGUGCAGGGUCUAGUAACCCGCCAGGGAUCAUAGCGCCCGGGUCUGGACCCCUUAUUCAGCCACGGGUGAUGGGGCCUCCCCAGGUGCCCCCUACCCCGCCUCAGUAUGUGCCAAUACCCCCGGGUCAUUAUAAUAACCCGCUGGAGAACAUGGUUGCUGCGGCAGCACGGCUGGCGGCUCUACCAGUUGACGGCGACUCUCCGACGGCUAUUGAAACCCGCCGGGUCAGGGAACUCCUCCAGACAGCACUGGCGCAACAAGAGGCGUACUCCUACAGCCGGGACAGGAUCCACUCGACCCCUCGUCCUGGCCAGAGCCCGAGUUACAGCCGGCACAUGGUCUCAGCAACCGGCUCAAGUAACGUCCGACGCCAUGACCCGCCCCCAUGUCAUGGCCCGGCUCAUAAUGGAGCCUUUUACACAGCAGACCAAGCGCGGCAAGAGGCGGAGCAAGUACCGCAAUUGACGGCUUACCAGACCCCCCCGGCUUAUCCGACGGCUUCCAUUGAUGUGGGUAUCCCUACCAGGACCGGGGGAGUCCCUUGUUUAGUGCCAGCUAUCCGUAAUGAACGUCUACCUAAGGAUUUCAAGGGCCCUAGGAAGGUGCCUAACUACACAGCUGACUUACAACCCGCAGCCUGGAUCGAGAGUUAUGAGAUGGCUAUGGAGCUGCUGGAGGUCAGUGAGGCGGCCAUGGCCAAGUAUUUCACCAUGAUGUUAGAUGGGACCGCCCGCACUUGGUUGAAAGGGCUACCACCGAACUCCAUUGGGUCUUGGGCGGAGCUGAAAGCCCGGUUCAUCCAAAACUUCAAAGAUACCUGUAGGCAGUCUAUGUCAAUUGUGGAUUUGACUAACUGUAAGCAGCAGGAGGGUGAAUCCACGACCCAUUGGGUUUGCCGGGUUAAGGAGAUCAUACAUUCAUCAGAUAAGAUGGAUGCCGGCUCUGCAGUCUUAAUGUUAGAGCAGAAUUGUCGCUUCGUGCCCCUGAAGAUGAAACUCGGGCGGCUUAAGCGUGAUUGCAGUGAUAUGGGUACACUAAUGGCGGCUCUUGUUAAGUACGCCGAUUCCGAUGGUACCAAGGAUCCCCCUUCAGAUGACGGUAGGACAGGGAAGGGAAAGAAGAACGGCAAUGGCAAGGGUCCUCAGUUUAACCCGGGGAACCAAGGAGGAGGCAAGCGCAAGGCAGAUGACAGCCUAGAGUUUGUGGCCAACGCCAGCUCACAAGGUAAUAACCAGGGACGCAAGGGGAGGCCCCCUCCCCGAGGCGGCGGGUCAGGUCCGACGCUGGAGCAGCUGUUGAAUGAACCUUGUCCAAGGCAUGGCUCUAGAGAGAAGCCAGCGACUCACCUGUGGAAAGAUUGUGCGAUCAUGAAGGCCUUUAAGAACUACAAUGGCCCGGGCGGUGGCUCAGGUGCCGGCGGCUCAGGCGCCGGCGGCUUUCAUGGCCCGGGGGGCGGCUCAAAUUCUGGUCCUCAGAGCGGUCAAGGGGAUUUUAAUCAACAGUCUGGCCAAGGUCAUCAACAGCAGCAGGGGGGUUAUCAGACCAAUCCAAAGCAACUUAGCGGUGGACAGUAUCAUGUGUUUACCACUAGUUUGUGCAAGCGAGAUCAGAAGCUUCACAAGAGGGCUGUGAAUGCUGUGGAGCCGGCGAUCCCACGCUACUUGCGGUGGUCUGAGCAACCUAUAGUGUGGAGUAGGGAGGAUCACCCUCCCCGGGUGGAUAACCCGGGCCACUUGGCCUUAGUGGUAGCUCCUCAAGUGGGAGGAUAUAAAUUCACAAAGGUGCUCAUGGAUGGAGGCAGCAGCAUCAACAUCCUCUAUUAUGAGACUUUUCGCCGUAUGGGGUUGGUUGAUAAGAACCUCAGCCAGUCAAACACUAUCUUCCAUGGCGUGGUACCUGGUAAGUCGGCUUAUCCAGUCGGCAAGAUCGAAUUGGAAGUGGCCUUUGGUGAUGAGAACAACUACAGGGUGGAGAAAUUGACCUUUGAGGUGGUCAAGAUAAGAAGUCCAUACCAUGCUAUAUUUGGACGGCCGGCUUACGCCAAGUUAAUGGCACGGCCGUGUUAUGUGUAUUUACAGCUCAAGAUGCCGGGUCACAAUGGGACCAUUACGGUUCACGGCAGCCGGAAAGUGGCUCUGGAGUGUGAGGAAGGCGAUGCGGCUUAUGCAGAGUCCGUGUGUGCUACAGAGGAGUUGAAGUUUUACAAGGACAAUGUUGACCCAACAGAUAUGACCUCUCUGAAAAAGCCAACUACAGAACAAGAGCCGGCAAUGAAAUUUAAAUCAGCUGAUGAGACUAAACUUGUUGAUUUUGUUCCAGGUGACUCAUCUCAGCAGUUUAGCAUCAGUGCAAAUCUGGAUCGAAAAUAGGAAAGCGCGCUCAUCGAGUUCAUCCGUGAAAAUAGGGACAUCUUCGCAUGGAAACCUUCUGACAUGCCAGGUGUACCUAGAGAACUCGCUGAGCACACUCUCAAUGUUGAUCCUAAAUUUAAGCCGGUCAGACAGUUCCUUCGGCGGUUUAAUGAAGAGAGGCGGAAAGCUAUUGGUGAAGAGGUGGCCCGGCUCUUGGCGGCCGGGUUUAUUGUUGAAGUCUUCCACCCAGAGUGGUUAGCCAACCCGGUGCUCGUACUCAAGAAGAACGGCACCUGGCGGAUGUGUGUGGACUACACGGACCUGAACAAGGCGUGUCCGGCUGAUCCUUUUGCCCUCCCCCGUAUUGAUCAAAUCAUUGAUGCUACGGCAGGUUGUGCACGUCUAAGUUUCUUGGAUGCUUAUUCCGGUUAUCAUCAGAUUAAGAUGGCAGGUAAGGACCAGGAGAAGACAGCGUUCAUUACUCCCUUUGGAGCCUUCUGCUAUGUAUCCAUGCCUUUUGGACCCAAGUGUGCACAGGCGACUUACCAGCGUUGUGUACAGAACUGUCUUCAUAAACAGAUUGGGUGUAAUGUUCAUGCUUACGUGGACGAUAUUGUGGUUAACUCCAUAAAAGAGGAAACCCUGAUAGAUGAUUUAAGGGAAACCUUUGAUAAUCUCCGGGUCUAUAAGAUGAUGCUUAACCCGGCCAAGUGUGUCUUUGGUGUUCCUGCAGGCAAGCUCUUGGGCUUCUUGGUUUCUGACAGGGGCAUUGAGGCUAACCCGGAGAAGAUCAAGGCCAUCACCUCCCUGGCUAAGCCGGCGUGUAUAAAUGACGUUCAGCGCUUGGCGGGUCGCAUUGCUGCUUUAAGCCACUUUAUAAGCCGUUUGGGUGAGAAGGCCAUGCCCUUAUAUCAGUUGAUGAAGAAAACUGAUAACUUUGUCUGGAAUGAUGCAGCUAAUACCGCCUUUGAGGAUUUGAAGAAGCAGCUGGCAGAGCCCCCAGUCCUUGCUGCUCCGGUUGAUAAGGAGCCCUUGCUACUGUAUGUGGCGGCAAACGCACGAGCCGUCAGUGUGGCUAUUGUGGUAGAGCGCAAGGAGGCGGCUAAGGAACAUCCGGUUCAGCGGCCGGUUUAUUAUGUCAGCGAAGUGCUCAUUGAGUCCAAGCAACGGUACCCGCAUUGGCAGAAGCUUGUGUAUGGUGUGUUCAUGGCAAGCCGGAAACUUAAGCAUUAUUUUCAGGGUCAUCCCAUCACUGUGGUCAGCUCUGCCCCCCUUGGUGACAUCAUCCAAAACAGAGAGGCCACAGGGAGAAUUGCUAAGUGGGCUAUAGAACUUGGACCUCAUGGUCUCAAAUAUGUGCCACGCACUGCUGUUAAAUCUCAGGCCUUGGUGGAUUUCCUCAAUGAUUGGACAGAGUCACAAGUGCCUGAGCAGAAGCCGGAUAACACAUAUUGGACUAUUCACUUCGAUGGGUCCAGGCAGUUGGAGGGCUCGGGGGCUGGUGUUGUAUUGGCCUCCCCUAAAGGUGACAAGUUCCAUUAUGUGCUACGGUUGAUGUUUCCUUGCACUAACAAUGCGGCUGAGUACGAGGCCUUGCUCCACGGUCUUCGGAUGGCUAAGGAAAUGAGCUUGAGCCGGGUAAGAUGCUUCGGUGACUCAGACUUGGUGGCUCAACAAGUAUCAGGCAAGUGGGACUCUAAGGACCCGCUCAUGGCGGCUUAUCGCCGCGAAGUUGACGCCAUUGCUGGGCAUUUUCAGGGCUACCAAGUAGAGCACAUUGAUCGCAGGAAGAACGAGGCGGCUGAUGCCCUAAGCCGGCUAGGCUCUCAGCGAAAGCCGGUGCCACCUAACACUUUCCUGGAUGUCCUGUAUAGCCCUUCGGUUAAGUUGCCUACGGAGGAAGACUUGGCUGUCCCUGACCCGGAGGCACGACUGGUGGCGGCUCUCCAUAUCAUACCAGACUGGACAAUGCCAUAUCUGGCUUACAUGACCCGGGGCGAGUUGCCUGAGGAUGAAACUUUGGCCAGGCAAAUAACCCGGCGGGCCAAGUCAAUGAUUGUUAUCGAUGGCGAGUUACAUCAUCGCAGUGUUACAGGAGUGUUUCAGCGCUGUGUCUCCCCUGAGGAAGGUCAAGAGAUCUUGCGUGAGAUCCAUGAAGGGGAUUGUGGCCAUCACGCCGGCUCAAAGUCUCUUGUGGCCAAGGCUUUUCGUCAUGGUUUUUAUUGGUUGAUGGCUCAUGCUGAUGCAGAAGACUUGGUCAGUAAAUGUGAUGGUUGCCAGAGGUUCUCACGACGGGCUCAUGUGCCGGCUCAGGAGCUGAGGAUGAUCCCAAUCACUUGGCCCUUUGCGGUCUUGGGGCUUGACAUGGUUGGGCCUUUUAAAAGGUCCAAGGAUAAGAAGACCCACCUCUUGGUGGCAGUUGAUAAGUUCACAAAGUGGGUGGAAGCUGAGCCAGUUAGCAAGUGCGAUGCAGCCACGGCGGUUCAAUUUAUGAAAAAGGUGAUUUUCCGCUUCGGGUUUCCGCACAGCAUCAUAACUGACAAUGGCACCAAUCUCUCCAAAGGCGCUAUGGAAGAGUUUUGUCAACGAGAGCAUAUCCGACUUGAUGUUUCCUCAGUGGCUCAUCCUCAAUCCAAUGGUUAAGCUGAGAGAGCUAACCAGGAGAUCCUGAAGGGCAUCAAGCCCCGGCUUUUGGUCCCUUUGCAACGGACGCCGGGUUGUUGGGUGGAGGAGUUGCCCUCCGUCUUAUGGAGUAUCAACACUACUCCUAACAGGUCUACAGGCUUCACGCCUUUCUUCAUGGUUUAUGGAGCAGAAGCAGUCCUCCCCAGUGACAUCCGUCACGACUCACCUCGCGUGGCGACUUAUGUUGAGACGGAUAAUGAACAGGCGCGCCAGGAUGCUCUUGACUUGUUGGACGAACAGCGUGAUGUGGCAGCAGCCCAUUCAGCGAUUUACCAACAAGACCUACGCCGUUAUCAUAGCCACCGGGUCAAAUCCCGGGUCUUCCAGGAAGGCGACCUUGUGCUCCGGCUCAUCCAGGAUCAAACAGAUGCACACAAGUUAUCCCCGCCUUGGGAAGGGCCCUUUGUGGUCAGCAAGAACUUGCACAACGGGUCGUAUUACCUCAUUGACAUUCGGGAGCACAAAGAUUCACGUAAGUCGGAGGAGGAGACCCGUCGGCCGUGGAACAUAGCUCAGCUUCGGCCCUACUACACUUGAGCCACCGGCUCUCGUGGUGUACAUAUUUCUCUCAGACAUAUAUAUAUUAUGAUAAAGCAAUAAAGCAGGACCUCUGUCCUAUUUUCUCCUCCAAAUAUGCAAGUGUUGUUUUUAUUACAAGAUUACAUGAUGGCUUAAAGGAGGAUCCGGCUUAUGAUCGUAUUCGAAUCGAGCCGUAAGCAGUAAAGUCACUUGGGGGCCUCCUGUUCAAACAUGGGUCGUAUUCGAACCAAAGAGAACAUAGCUGUCGAUACCCAUUUGAUUGGCAAAAUGCCGAGCUCAUUGGGAGGUUACCUUUGGUCACAUUUGAAUCAUAGUUUAACCCCUCUGAGAACCGACGUGGAUCAUAUUCGAAUCAGCGUCGUUAAACAAUUUCUUAAAAUCACUUGGGGGCUUCCUGUUCAAACAUGGGUCGUAUUCGAACCAAAGAGAACAUAGCUGUCGGUACCCUCUUGAUUGGCAUCGCCACACCCACUGGGGGCUAUAUGAUUGUAUCUGAAUCUUAGCUUAAACCCCUUUGGGCCGGGUCUCUGGUCGUAUUCGAACCGGAAGCCCCUAAGUUCUUCUGCUUUAUCACAAGUUUACUCUGAUUAUGUCAAGAGGUGUACGGCCGGGUCUCAUUUUUCCGGCUUAAAAUGUUAGUUGAACACCAUGGGUGUUAUUAAAACAAGUAACUCAGAGUUGAGGUACCAACCUUGUUACCCGGGUUAUCUAACCCGGAAGUAUGCUACAGGCUGCUAAGUGUGUUAUCACGGCUGUCUUCAGGAUAUUACAGGAGGGCCGGUCUUUUUUGAUUCGUAUGCCGGGUUAUCCAUCCAAAACACCUGAUUCUCAGGGUGGUAAGCCGCCUCGAGACUUGUGAUUUGCCUUUCUAUGCAGGAUACGUAAAGGCACCUUUUUGAGGUUGAGAAAAACAAAGGGAUGAUUAUGACCCGGAGAAACAUCAAAGAGACAACUUAAAAAGAUUUUGGCAUUCAAUAUGUGCAUGAUGGCACGGCAGAGAUAGACUGUUGCACCUACUUUAUUACAACAUUCAUCAAAUUUAACAAGGGUGGAGCAUUGUUUGGUAAACCGACAGCCGAGCUACGAUACCCGCUGGGUGGAAGUCUCCGGCUCGUUCCUGUCCUGUCCUCCGGCUGAUCCCAAGACCUGGAAGGUUGAUGACUUCCAGUUGAUGCCGCUGAGAGCCUCAAACUGGGCUUCCUCGUCAAUUAAACCGGCCGGGUCAAUCUCUGGAGCGAAGGUGUGCUGACGAGCCGGCGGGAUCAGGUUGAGGGCUUCAUAGCGAGGGGUUGGAAUCCUCUGAUUCUCCGCGUCAUAACCCGGCUGGUACUUGGUCAGAUCUGUGUCAUUCCCGAUGAGGGUGGCCACCGGGCGUACAGCCUUCACGCACGCUGCGAAGUCCUUCUGAUCAAAAGCUGAGCCGUCUUCCUUCAGGCUUGGAUAGCCAAGGGCAAUGUCUGCCGGGUCUAACUCCGGCAGGAAUGCCUUGGCCCGGCUCAGCGCGACGAUUGCUCCGGCUCUCGUAGAAGCCCGUCGCAGCUCUUGGAUCCGCUGAGGCAGAACGGCGAGCCGGCGCAGGACUUCUGCCAGGUGAGUCGGCACCUCGUUGGAUAAGGCCACCACAGCUAAGGCACGCUGUGACCCGGUGUAGAGCUGUUCCACUAGGGUAUACACGGCCUUUAGCUUGGUGACCACGCUCUGGUUGAGGUUGGCACUUCUGGGACCUGUUUAACAGAAUCAAGUAAGUCGGCGACAAGGAUGAAUCAUGAGAUAUGAACAUUCUAACAUUGAUGAAAGCCGGUGAGGCGACUUACCGAAGAUGGCGGCCACCAUUUGGGAAACCUGGCGCUUUAGGCCGGAGAGCUCGGCGGUCUUCUCAGAGAGAGUCUUCUCCGCCUGUUCUGCCCGGGUCACCAGUGCGGCCUUCUCUUCAGCCCAGGCCUUCCGCUCAGCAUCAAAUUCUGUCUUAAGCUUCUCUUGAGCGGCGAUGCUGGAGACAAACUUGGCGUUUGCCUUCCGGGUCUCCAUCUCCUGCGUCUUCAGCCGGCUCUUGAGAUCCGCAAGGUCCGACUCUAGCUUCUUGCCAACAGCCUGAAUAGAUUUCCGGGUUAUUAACAGUCAUGAUAUAAGUCCCAAGCGUUUUUCAAGCAAAGACACUUGGCACUUGGGGGCUAAUGCAUAUUGAACGUAUCUAUCUACAUACAGCCGGCUCAAUUGAGUAAGCCGGGACCUAAGUCUACAACAUAUUCACGUCAUAAGUCGUUGACUUGGGGGCUAGCAUGGCAAAGGUAACUAUGCAGUAAGUAAGAAGAUAGCAGAAAGAUACCUCAGAUUUUUGCUGGAUUUGGUUUACUAUGGCGACCUCGGCAUCCCGGCUCUUGUGUACUUGGCUGAUGUAGCCAGAGACGAGUUCUCCAAUGCUCAGGUUGCUGUAGUUGGAGAGGUCCAGAUUCGCCCGGUGGGGCUGCAGCAACUCCCCCUUAGCAGGGCACUUGGCCAACACGGUCCGUCUCCCCGGCUCAACAUACUCCGUCCGGGUGAUUACCACGUCCGGGUCGUCUGCUGGAGGAGCCGGAGGCCUCCGGGUUAACCGAAGCUUCGGUCGUUGCCUUGGUAGUUGGGGCGGGGGCUUCAGGUGCCGUGUCCAUUGGAGUGGUGGCUUCGGGGGCGGAGGCAGCUGGCGGUUCUUGGACUGUCACCGCCGGCUCAGGCAGAUCCGGCACUCCGUCCGACUUGGUUUUCUUCACCCUCUUGGUGAGCUUUGCCUGGGCACUGAAAGAACAACAAAGGUUGGUACAAAGAAUAUGAAUAAAGAUCCGAACAACAUAAGAUGAUUGUUGUUACCCGGGCGCGGUCUUGAAAGCCGGCAGAUUUGACUGCAUGGAGUCACCCGAAGAGGGGGAGGUCUCCUGGUAAUUGGAGUCAGAAGAGUUGAGUGGCUGACGGAUAACACCCGCCAACGGGUGAAAAGGGUACAAGUGGGAAAUAACCUCAGUUCGGCGUUUUCUUGUUGCGUCGGGUAACCCGGCGGAGAGGUCGGUGUCCUGGUUGGUCCGGGUGUGACGCCGGCUUUCAUGAACCUGUCGCUUCAAAAGAAAUUGAGGGUCUUGAUGAGCUAAAGGAUGUGAAAAGCUUACUUUCCGGGUUACCCUUCGGACUUUCAGCUGUUUCAAGGGCUCCGAGUCGGAGGAAAGUGACAUUACCUCUUCAACCACCGGGUUACUUGCGCCGGUGUCAUCCUGUCAAUGAGCAAGUAUCGAUAAGGCGGACAGCAACAAACAGUGAAUAUAGUAAAGACUUAAAUGCUCAGGAGUUACCUCUGACUCAGAGCUGUCGCUUAAUUGCAUCAGCUCCGAAGCAGUAGGCCUGCUUCCUUUUUUGCGAGGGGCGGCUUUUUUGGCGGCUUUCUUCGCCUUCCUGGCUUUCUUGGCCGCCUCAUGGUCAUAUUUGACCCGCCAGAACUUAUCAUCAGCCUGAAAAAUACAAUGACAGAUUUUUAAACGGUUCAGAUGAAGGUUAUAUGCAGACGAAGAUAAAAAGUUAAAGUCAGCGGCUUACCGCUGGGGCUGGAUUGGUCUUGCAGAAGGGGGCUAACCCGGUCCUUCCGCAGUCUGCCAGGCUCUCGUUUAAAAGAGCCUUGGUCUCCUCCUCUACAACGUCUUCUGGAAGAUCAUUGCGGCUGUGCCUCUGAGGGUCAUCUUUUCGCCCUGUGUACUCACACAUUAAGCCGGGGAGGCGGCUCAAUGGGAUCACCCGCCAGGAGAUCCAGACCCGGACCAGGUCAAUUCCGUUCAGACCGUUGCCCAGGAGGGCCUUGAUUUUGUUGAUGGUAGGAAGCAGAGGCUGGCGCUCUGCUUGAGUCAGCUUGUCCGACAGUGGGUGAGUCGGCUCCAGACGUGUUGGGCGAAAGCCGGGCAGCGGGCUUUCAUCAGCCAGGGACGUAUCUUGGCAGUAAAACCAAGUCAUGUUCCAGUCCUUAGGGUGGCUCGGCGGCUCUGCGUAAGGGAAAAGACAGUCCCUACGCCGCUGGAUGGAAAUGCCACCUAACUCCAGACUUGGUCCGUUGGCGCACUCAUUUUGGCGGUUUAAAUAAAAAAGCUCUCUGAAGAGCAGCAGACUAGGCUCUUCUCCAUGGUAAACCUCGCAGAAGACUUGGAAAUUGCAGAUGUUGGACACUGAGUUGGGGCCUAUAUCUUGAGGCCGCAAGUCGAAGAAGUUGAGCACGUCCCUGAAAAACUUUGAGCCGGGCGGUGCGAAGCCCCGGCUCAUAUGAUCUGCGAAAAUCACUACCUCGUCGUCCUUUGGCUGUGGUCUCUCUUCUGACGGGUCAGGGGCACGGUAGGACAUGAUUUCCUUCUUAGGCAGAUAUCCGGACUUAACAAAAUUGGCUAGGGUCUCGUUGGUGACGUUGGACCUCAUCCAGUUGCAAGUGAUGGGAGCCUUAGGAGGCAUGGUGAAAGUUGGCAGUCUAUGACAAAAAGGAAAAAUGUCCGGGUUAAUUUUAAGCCGGAGAUCUACAAUUCACAACUAAGGUGGCGGCUUAUGAAGGGGACUAAUGAUAUAUACUCUGGUACAGUGGGUUAUUUAAGUCACAGGGGCAUUCAGAGUAAGUUGGUUAUCUACGGCCUUACCACAGUUAAGCCGGAGGAUUCUACGAAGCAUGGAUUUCUUUAAAGCCGGAGGAUUCUACGGCGCGUGGUCUCUUUAAACCGGAAUUGUAAGCCGCCAAGGUUCAAUGGUUGCAGUUUUUACUAAGUGUGGUAAAACAAGUUUCACAUAUUGCCGUAACUUUUUUGGAUCAAAAUGGUCGGUCCAAAGAAAAUUUUCUAGACCUAAAAAAGCGGACGCAUGGGAGUUCUUGAGCUCGAAGGAGGUCUUAUGCAGUAGAAAGAAGUGUGUUUUGCAGGUAAAAUGAGUACUAAACAGCUACUGCAGCAAGUCUAUACAGAUCUAAGAUCAACCGGAGCAGUAAGAAAGAAAGCUACCGAAGUAUGUGGCAAUGGCGACGAACACGAAGAACACAGACGAACCCUACGGUGGAUCUAUCUUACAGGGCAAGCAAGACUUACCGGAGUUGGAGAGCUGCGGAGGUUGUUGCGUUUCUCUGGUCCGUUCAGGGUGAUGCGGCGGCCUGAGCGUGGUGACGACGAGAAGACCCGCGGCGGCGACGGCGGAGGAGCUCGGGCAGCGGAGCGAUGGCACGAGGAAGAAGAUGGGGAGGAAGUGGCUGAAAGCCCGUCGGGCAGGCCUAUUUAUAAGGCAAGGUCAUAAGUGGGCGCGAGAUUCAAGGAGACCACGGCGUGGUUAUCUCCCCCCACGCGCCUCGAUUUUUGGAAUGACAGUAAAAGCAAAGAUCCGUUGCGGAUCUGGUGGAGUAAAAAACGGGCUUAAUGGAAGAUGACGUCACGGCGGAUUAUCCGGAGUCCAGAGGAUGACGUCACGCCGGGUUAUGGCUUUCACAUGAAUGGUAAGCCGGAGAUUUUUUCUGUCGGCAGAGUUGAAGAUUGACAUGAGCCGGCUCAAAUCAAUCUGGGGCCUAAUGUUGAGGAUAUAGACCUUAGAGUCACCCGCCACGGGGGGCCGGGUUACUCAUAUGGUCGUUGCCAGAAGCCCGGAGCCAAGCUUGAAGACGAUGGGCCAAAGAUGGGCUAAGACCCGGAUGUGGCUUAAAGCCCGUAGUUACAAUCAUUAUUAUGGUUAAACUUGUAGCAUAAGGCAAGUAUAGUUGAGAGUCCGAGCUGGACACUCUUUAUGAGCCGGCCGGGAUUCUAAGGGCUGCUGGGCGUUUUCCUCCCUAUAUAAAGGGACGACCCGGCAGCGGUUUAGGGACGACAACAAUCUCAUCGAGAGCCGGGCAUAGCAGUUUAGCUCCCUGGUGAUCAUAACCCUAAUCGAUACCAUCUCAACCGGACGUAGGCUUUUACCUUCACCGUAAGGGGCCGAACCAGUAUAAACCCUCGUGUUCCUUGUCCCACAUUAACCCCUUCAAGCUUCCUAGUCGCGAUGGCUCCACGACUAAGUCCUAGCUCGAGGACAUCUGCCGUGACAAUUCCACGACAGGUCCAUAGUUAUUAGCUUGAUGGCUUCUUCUCUCUUUUUGGAUCUCAAUACAAUGUUCUCCCCCUCUCUCGUGGAGAUCUAUUCGAUGUAAUCUUCUUUUGUGGUGUGUUUGUUGAGACCGAUGGAUUGUGGGUUUAUGAUCAAGUUUAUCUAUGAACAAUAUUUGAAUCUUCUCUGAAUUCUGUUAUGUAUGAUUGGUUAUCUUUGCAAGUCUCUUCGAAUUAUCAGUUUGGUUUGGCCUACUAGAUUGAUCUUUCUUGCAAUAGGAGAAGUGCUUAGCUUUGGGUUGAAUCUUGCGGUGUCCUUUCCCAGUGACAGUAGGGGCAGCAAGGCACGUAUUGUAUUGUUGCCAUCGAGGAUAACAAGAUGGGGUUUAUAUCAUAUUGCAUGAGUUUAUCCCUCUACAUCAUGUCAUCUUACUUAAAGCGUUACUCUGUUCUUAUGAACUUAAUACUCUAGAUGCAUGCUGGAUAGCGGUCGAUGUGUGGAGUAAUAGUAGUAGAUGCAGGCAGGAGUCGGUCUACUUGUCUCGGACGUGAUGCCUAUAUACAUGAUCAUACCUAGAUAUUCUCAUAACUGUGCUCAAUUCUGUCAAUUGCUCAACAGUAAUUUGUUCACCCACCGUAAUACUUAUGCUCUCGAGAGAAGCCACUAGUGAAACCUAUGGCCCCCGGGUCUAUUUUCCAUCAUAUUAAUCUUCCAACACUUAGCUAUUUUUAUUGCCUUUUAUUUUACUUUGCAUCUUUAUCAUAAAAAUACCAAAAAUAUUAUCUUAUCAUAUCUACCAGAUCUCACUCUUGUAAGUGACCGUGAAGGGAUUGACAACCCCUUUAUUGCGUUGGUUGCGAGGAUUUAUUUGUUUGUGUAGGUGCGAGGGACUCGUGCGUGGCCUCCUACUGGAUUGAUACCUUGGUUCUCAAAAACUGAGGGAAAUACUUACGCUGCUUUACUGCAUCACCCUUUCCUCUUCAAGGGAAAACCAACGCAGUGCUCAAGAGGUAGCACGCCGCUGAGGGAGUCCUCGAUUAGGGGGUCUCCGGGCGUCCGGGCUAUGUGCAUGGGCCAGACUGAUGGGCUGUGAAGAUACAAGAUAGAUGGCCUUUCCCCGUGUCCGGAUGGGACUCUCCUUUGCGUGGAUGGCAAGUUUGGCGUUCGGAUGUUGUCAUGGUUUUGUCACGGCAGAUGUCCUAGUGAAAGGACUUAGUCGUGGAGCCAUCGCGACGGGUUAGCUUAAAGGGGUUAAAGCGGACAAGGGACACAGGGUGUUUAUACUGGUUCGGCCCCUUGCUGUGAAGGUAAAAGCCUACGAUCCAGUUGUUGUGGAAUUGCUAGGGUUUCGAUGACCAGGGAGCGAAUCCGCUAUGCCUGGUUCUCGAGUUGUUGUUUUUCUCUCUCUAAACCGCCGCCGGGUCGUCCCCUUAUAUACAUGGGUUGACGCCCGUCGGUUUACAGGAUCCCGAGGCCGGCUCAUAAACGUGUGCGGCCCGGUCUCUACUCUUCCUAUCUUACAACAUAAGCUUACAUAUCAAUGUCGGUUUAUGUCUACAGGCUUUAAUCCGCCUUUGGGCCCUGGGCCUUCAAAAAGCGCCAUCGUCUUUGUCUUCAUGGGCUUCAAAUAUAAUAACUCAUUAUGGGGAUAACCCGACCUCUCUUGGCCGGUUUACGCCCAGCAGUAAUAUCCCCAACAUUAGGCCCCAGAUUGAUUUGAACUGGUUCAUGUCAAUCUUCAAUACUUAGGAAAAUUUCUUCUUCAGCACCUUCAUGUAAGUCUCAUAAACCGCCAUGACAUCAUCUUCUAGGAUCAUGAUAAACCGCCAUGACGUCACCUGUUUUUAAAGAUUGCAUAUAGCUCACCUUCAUUAAUGAGCCUCCGACAAUCAAGGCGACAGAGCUGUCACAUAUCCCAUUCUCGGGCUCCUCGAUUCUCGCGCCUGUCACUUAUCCAUUCACCUUAUAAAUAAGGUCGAGGGGUCCUUUUCACUUUUCCCCUUCGUGCCCCUUCACAUCGUCCUCUUCCUCGCAACGCCCGACCAUUGGAGUUCUGCCGACGCCGUCGACCUUCGCUUCUGCCCCAAUGACAGCCGCUGCAUCAACCUGAUCGCACCAGAGAAACACGGCGCUCCUCCGCUGUUCCCUCAGCAUCAGCAAGUUCCUCUUUUCCUUGCUCUAGAUCCACCAUUAGGGUUUCGGUGUUCAUCGGAGUUCAUUGAAGCUCCGGCGCCGUUCUUCCCUGUUCUUCUUAGUAGCAUAAACGGCUAGUUUGGAUCUGAUACUUCUUGUGCGGCCGUAGCCAUAACCCCCUUUCUCCUUAUUAAAGCAUCUCCUUUAUAUAGAAAACUCAUCUGAACUUGAUGAACUGUUCAAGCACCUGAAGUUAGGUCUGAAUAUAUUCUAGUUUUCUGCACACCGCGGAUCUGAAAUUAUCACAUCAAUCUGCGAAACUUGUUUUUCCCUCACUUAGGUACUUUAGAUCCGUACCUUUCACACCAAUAUAGGCGGUUUAGCUUUGAAAAAAUGAUAAUCCGGUAAGUACCAUUAGUCCCCUCUUAAACCACCGAUGCAUUUAUCUUUGCACCUCCUCCAUCGUAAUAUGCCGGUUUAGCAAUAUUAGACUCCGGUUUAACAAUAUGCAUACACCUCUGCUUCUGCUUAACUUGCAUCGCUUUAUGGUUGCCCGUCAUCCAUCUUAAAUCGGCAUUUAUCUUUUUCCAGCUUUUCAUUACAAUGGCCAAAUAGUUUUAUGCUUGUAACUGGGUCCCUUCCCGGGUUACGGAAUCACAACUAGAGGGAUGUGUCGCAACUGGCGCUUUAGCGAAGAAAGAAACUAUCCAGUGGAGGGUCCCCGGUCCAGAAAAUCCUCCUGAGCCCAAGGAUGGGGAAGUGGUCGUGUUUGUCGAUCACCUGAGCCGAGGGUUUAGCCCUCCCGGAUCAAUGUUCUUUCGAGAUGUACUUGCUAGCUUUCAACUCCACCUUCAAGACAUUGGCCCAAACUCUGUGUCCAAUGUUUGCCAUUUCCAAGUAUUUUGCGAGGCUUAUCUUCAAGAGGAGCCCACAGUUGAACUGUUUAUAGAUUUCUUCUACUUAAACCGUCGCACAGAGUUCACAGACGGACCCAACACCGAGCUUGGUGGAAUGGCGAUUCAAAAGAGGAAGGAUGUCAUCUUCCCUCACGCCAAGCUUCAUAGUCACCCCAAGGACUGGAUUCAGACUUGGUUUUAUUGCAAAGAUACAUCUCCGACUGAUGAAAAUCCUCUGCCGGGCUAUCGCCCUCACCGUCUUAGCAAUACACAUCCCUUUCCUCAGAGAUUGACUGCAAAGGAAAGGUCCAACUAUGCUCCACAACUGUCAAAGCUCAGAGCCUUUAUGGCGAACGGUUUAACAGGUGUUGAUUUCGCUCGCUGUUGGAUAAACUGGAGCAUUCUGCCCUUAAGCCGGCGCCCCGGUUUGAUGUGUGAAUACACAGGGAGUUUGACCGACCCUGAAAAACAUGUUAAUAUUCAGCUAACAGAGGCUGAAGUUACUGAGGCUGUCAAGAAAAUAUUGAAUGAACUGGAGGCUGUCUGUGGCCAGACCGGAUUAAAUCCUUUCUGCGUUUCCAAUAAAUUUCCAACUGUAAGAAUCAUAUAACUUUUUGUUUUAACUUUCUCCUUUUAAAUAUUCUCUCAAAAUCUUAACCAUCUUUGACAGGGUGAUGACCCGUUCUGGAAGAAAAAACCAUAGGAUAAACCGGCAAAAACACCUCGCCCAAAGACCAAGGUUACCAAAAAGCCUUCCAAGAAGAGGACCACUGCAUCUUCCGAACCAAAUGCUGAUGCUGACGAGGCUAAUCCGGACUCAGUGGUAGAACUUGACUCUCUUGGUUCAUUUUUCAUACACCUCAUUGACAAUGACUAUUACCAGGACGACGUUGAAGGCAGCCAAGCUGAGGACGCAGAGGUAAUUAUUCUUUCCUCCGGUUCAGAUCCUCUGCCAACACAGACAAACCGUCAAGAAAACCGGAAAGUAAAAUUUUCUCACCCCCUUGCUCACUUGGACCCCAACUUUCUUUUGAAGAAGCAGCAACACGAAGCCCGCCGCACAACCCGGCAUAGCGGCCAGGUAGUUACCUCCGCCGGUUUACCGAACACUCACGUCCGAAAUCGUCGAUCAAAGGUCUCUUAUAUUACUGAUGCUUCUUGCCCCAAGGCGGGUUGUUUCCGUCAGCCUCUUAACCCGUCUGAUUCAAAUUACCAGGGCAUGCCUCACUCAUCCUUUGGCGAGUCAUCGGCCACACAGCUUCCACCCCUCAAGACAGUUCCUGGGUGAGACAUAUUUUUAAAUUGAUUUUCCAUGCCUUAUAUUUACACAAUGUAUUGACCUUGAUAUUUGCUCUUCUCAGUGCCAAGCCAAGGCCCAGCAAAAAGGCUCGGUUAAAUAAACCAUCAGACAAAAAUGUGGUUAUUGAACCGGAGAGAACUCCAGAUCCGGUAGAGACCAAUGCUGAUGUUCUGCUUGAUGAUCCACCUCCUCAAGACAAUGACUUUUUUGUUGAACAAGUAGAAGUUGCUCCAGCAAGUCAGUCCAAUAAACCGACAAGCCCGGUCCGAGAUACUGAUAAACCAGCAAGCCCAGCUAAGGCUACUGAUAAACCGUCAACUCCAGUGAAGGCUGCUGGUGACAAGGAAGAUGACAUCAUGAUUACUGGCUUUGGCCACACUGCCCCUGGCAAUCCUGUCGCUUUAUCCAAGCAUAGUGCCAAGGAUGAACUUUCUGCUAUGGGCAAAGGCAAGUGGAACACAGACUUGUCAAGCUACGCCCAUGUCAACGCCCAAGACAUUCACCCUGGCUUCUUGAACCGUCUGUACACAAGCCGCGACUAUGAAGCCGGCUUUGUAAACUUGAUGAAAGAGAGAUAUGAGGUAACUAGUGCUUAACUUUGCAUAACUGUUUCUCUCUUAUUUCCAAUUUCAUAAUGUCAACUCCAGUAGCCCCCAAGGGCCGUUUUUUUAAAGAUGAACCGGCACUUUAGAAUCGUAAUACUGCAUCUUUCGCUGGUGUAGUCCCCAAGGGCCGGUUUAUCUUUUAAAGGUAAACCCGGACUGUAGAAGAAAACCCAUAAUGUUACUUUGAACAAUCAUACAUUAGCCCCCAAGUGUCAAGAAUAAUACUUGUAUUGUGCUUGAGACUUGUAGAAAUUUCUGAUAAUGAGCAAAUAGGCAUUAGCCCCCAAGUAUCAGGUGCACAACUUGUUAUGUGCUUGGUACUUCAAAUAUGUACUGCCAACUCAUGAUAUGUCUGUCUCUUAUAGGCUGAGCUGAGCAAAAAGGAAGCUCAAAACAAUGAUUUGCAAGAAAACAUCAAGUCCCAGCUAGCAGAAACCUCCAAAGCAAAAGAUGAGCUGACCAGUGCCUUAGCCGCCAUGGAAAAGCUGGAGGAGGGUUUCAACAAGGAACAUGCGGAUUGGGCCAUAGAAAAAUCCACACUACAGAAAAGAGCCGAGGAUGCAGAAGCAGCUCUUAAACCGGUGGUAGACGAGCUGACUGGUGUAAAGCGGCAAAUACAUGCCAUGACUCGUGCUGUGUUUGGUAAAUAUCCUGGCUGUAAGUUUUCACAUAUCAUCCCAUUCAUUGCCGGUUUACUGAUGUUUGUAAUGAUGCAGGAACUCGCAUUAGUCAUCUAGGCUCUGACGUAGAAAAAAAGCUGAAGGCUGCCUAUACUCUUAUAGAGCAGUUAUAUGCUGGUGCGCAACAGAUCAUUUGCGCUGCUUCUCACAACAAGCCGCCCCAACCUUAAUUAAGGAGACCUUAGAAAGGUUGUCGAUGCUGCCUGCCCGGGUAGAAGAGCUGAAAAGAUCUGCUGCGAGGGCUGGUGCUCUGACCGCGCUAACCCGGGCAAAAGCGUGGGUGCCUGAUCUUGAUCCGGUGGACAUGGGUAAAGGUUAUCCGAGCUUAAAAGAAGACGGAUCAGAAUUUGGCAAUGAUGACCUUCGAGCUAUAAACCAGGAAGUACGUCCACUGGCUUGCCAAUUGGCUGAAGAAGCUGAUCUUUCACAUUAUCAGGCGAGUUAUGACGUCAACAACAAACGGGUUGCUGCACCAACUCCUGAAGCCCAAAAUCUUAUCCCGCCAAUUCGUAGGCACACCUAUGCCCCUGUCAUUGAACCGUCCACCCUUAUAAGCGACGAAGCUGUGUUCCAAGCCCUAACUGGGAUCAACUGGGCAACUAUUGACUUCCAGCCGCUGGGUAGAGAUGAGGAGGAUGAACCGGUGCAAGAUGACCGCAGCCGUCAAGCCAACCUGGUGACGAAUAGGCCGGGUUAGCCUGCUGUGAACCGCAAUACUUGCUGAAAAAACAAUUAUUCUUUUGGGCACUGAAAUGCCUUGUAAUAGGCUAGUUCAAAAACUUGGUCUGUUAUGCCUUCGUGCAUAUUUACUUUGCUUGAUACUUGUUAAUUUGCCAUGCUUAAGAUAUAUGAUAUUCAUAAUCCGUAGCUGCUCCUGCAUACAAAAAGUUGGAAAGUGUCCUGGCGGUUUACCGCCGGACGGGUCAUGAUGCCCAGAUAUAUAGCCAAGGUUUAUAACCAAGGCUGUAAGAAGAUAAUCAAAUAUGUAAAUAAAUGAUACCUGAGACCUUGAAUCACAAUGUUGGUUGACCAACUUUUAUAGUGAGGGUGAUGACCCCAAUCUUGAGUAAGGAUAACUCCUUUCAUACUGUGCCGGUUUAUGAUAAAACCGUACCGGGUUGUGAUAAACACCGGUUUAUCCAUAUUCAAUACUGGCGACUUAGAGUUGAAACCAGACUGGGUUAAUAAACUCCGGAUUACAAGUGAUCAUGUACUGACCACUUAGUAGUUGAAAACCGAACCGGGUUAAUGAAUGCCGGUUUAUCAAAAACAUCAUAAAUCUCAUCAAAGGAGAAAAACUUCGCAAAUAAAAGCAUAUGAAAACUUGUAGUCGAGGCUUUUCACGGGCUGCCCGGCCCCAAAUUCGAGGCUUUUCAUGGGCUGCCAGGCCACUGAGUUAAUCCAUUUUACAAAGCCUUUUAAGAUGGACCUCAAUCUUUAACCAAUCAUCGUUUUAACUUUGACAAGUUCAGGGUCUUAUGAGAUUGACUUGUCAAAGUUUGCCGGGUCAUACCAGGUUUACCUGGACGGAGUGACUUACUUAAAAAAGGCAGGCUAACCCGGGGUUUUAGGUGUAUACACCAGGCUUCCAAGCCGUGGCUUGAUAGCCUAUUACAAGUGUAGAUUCUUUGUUCAUUGCGAUAGCAAAGAAUCCCCAAGUAAUAUUUUGAGCUGUGCUCCGCGGGUGCCUAUGUUUGAGUUGUUCUUUUGCAACACUCUCUUUGGCCCCUAAGUAAUUUUCUGGUGUAGCUAUGGUUUGGACACGACCAAGCGCCCAAGCGAUUUUUCUGGUGGCCUCGCGCCGAUCAAGAGGUGUAGCUAUGGUUCGAGUACGACCAAGCCCCCAAGUGAUUUUUCUGGUGGCCUUGCGCCGAUCAAGAGGUGUAGCUAUGGUUCGAGUACGACCAAGCCCCCAAGUGAUUUUUAUAUAAGGCCUUAUGAGCUGAAUCAAGGGGUAAACCGGACGCCGUUUUAUAAACAGAAGCCCCCAUGUAACCACACAUGAUGUAAGAAAAACAACAGAUACCCUGCUUUAGCUGAGGCUCCGAUUUAUUAUAUUGAUCAUAAUAUAUACAUUGUCAUAACUAUGUACAUGAGCAGAGCCUGUGGCACAAGUAUAGUAGGGCCGAAGAUGAGCGAUAUUCCACGGCCGGUGGGUCUCCUCCUCCGAUUUACGUGAGUCUUUGUGCUCUCGAACAUCUAUAAGGUAGUAUGACCCGUUAUGCAGAUUCUUGCUGACCACAAAGGGUCCUUCCUAAGGCGGGGAUAACUUGUGCAUAUCAGUCUAAUCCUGGAUGAGUCGGAGCACCAGAUCGCCUUCUUGGAAAGUUCUGGUUCUAACUCGGCGGCUGUGAUAACGACGCAGAUCCUGCUGAUAAAUCGCCGAACGGGCUGCUGCAAUGUCACGCUCCUCAUCUAACAGGUCAAGUGCUUCCUGUCGUGCCUUCUCAUUGUCAGCUUCGACGUACGCCGCCACACGAGGCGAGUCAUGACGGAUGUCACUAGGGAGAACCGCCUCCGCUCCAUAAACCAUGAAAAAAGGCGUGUAACCCAUGGAUCUGUUGGGCGUGGUAUUGAUGCUCCACAACACAGAAGGUAACUCUUCCACCCAACAACCCGGCGUCCGUUGCAAAGGAACCAUAAGUCGGGGUUUGAUGCCUCUCAAGAUCUCUUGAUUGGGUCGCUCCGCUUGACCAUUAGACUGGGGUGAGCCACUGAUGAUACAUCAAGCCAGAUGUGCUCACGUUGACAGAACUCCUUCAUAGCACCUUUGGACAGAUUGGUACAAUUAUCAGUUAUAAUGCUGUGUGGAAAGCCAAACCGCAAAAUCACCUUCUUAAUGAAUUGAACCGCCGUAGCUGCAUCACACUUACUGACUGGGUCUGCCUCCACCCAUUUAGUGAACUUGUCAACCGCCACCAAAAGGUUGGUCUUCUUGUCCUUGUAUCUCUUAAACGGCCCAACCAUAUCCAGCCCCCAGGUUGCAAACGACCAAGUGAUUGGAAUCAUCCGUAAUUCCUGGGCCGGAACGUGAGCUCGACGUGAAAAUUUCUGACAACCGUCGCACUUUUUCACCAAGUCUUCUGCAUCAGCAUGAGCCGUCAGCCAAUAGAAGCCAUUACGAAAAGCUUUAGCUACCAGGGACUUUGAACCGGCGUGGUGACCACAAUCUCCUUCAUGGAUCUCACGCAAAAUCUCACAGCCUUCUUCAGGAGACACGCAACGCUGAAACGCCCCUGUCACACUGCAAUGAUGUAACUCUCCAUUGAUAAUAGUCAUGGACUUGGACCACCGGAUUAUCUGCCGGGCCAAGGUUUCACCCUCCGGUAAUUCGCCCCGGUUCAUAUACGCCAAGUACGGGACCGUCCAAUCCGGGAUAACAUGAAGAGCCGCCACCAACUGAGCCUCCGGAUCAGGAACAGCCAAAUCCUCUUCUGUGGGGAGCUUGACGGACGGAUUAUGCAGAACCUCCAGGAAGACAUUGGGCGGAACUGGUUUACGUUAGAACCCAAACGGCUUAAAGCGUCCGCUGCUUCAUUCUUCCGUAGGUCCACAUGAUCGACCUGAUAACCUUUGAAAUGACCUGCAACAAUGUCCACCUCUCGACGAUAUGCUGCCAUGAGUGGGUCCUUGGAAUCCCAAGUACCAGACACUUGUUGAGCCACCAGGUCCGAGUCACCGAAGCACUUAACCCGGCUUAAAUUCAUCUCCUUAGCCAUCCAAAGACCGUGGAGUAAAGCCUCAUAUUUAGCUGCAUUGUUAGUGCAAGGGAACAUUAAACGGAGAACAUAACAAAACCUAUCACCUCGUGGGGAAGUUAGCAUGACUCCAGCCCCGAGGCCUCCAAUUGCCUGGAGCCAUCAAAAUGAAUAGUCCAAUAAGUAUGAUCUGGCUUCUCUUCUGGCGCCUGUAACUCUGUCCAGUCAUUGAUGAAGUCUACAAGUGCCUGAGACUUGACCGCCGUCCGGGGCACAUAUUUUAAUCCAUGAGGCCCAAGCUCCAUAGCCCACUUGGCGACCCGGCCAGUUGCUUCCCUGUUCUGGAUUAUAUCCCCCAAAGGAGCAGAGCUGACAAUGGUGAUGGGAUGACCUUGGAAAUAUUGCUUAAGCUUCCGGCUCACCAUAAAAACUCCAUACACCAGUUUCUGCCAAUGCUGGUACCUUUGCUUGGACUCAAUAAGUACUUCACUGAUGUAAUAAACCGGCCGUUGAACCGGAUACUCCUUUCCGGCCUCCUUGCGCUCCACCACAAUAGCCACGCUAACAGCCCGGGAGUUAGCUGCCACAUAUAAAAACAACGGCUCUUUAUCAACAGGAGCAGCAGGACCGGCGGAUUAGCCAGCUGCCGCUUUAAGUAUUCAAAUGCUUCAUUGGCGGCGUCACUCUAGACGAAGUCAUCCGUCUUCUUCAGCAUCUGAUAUAAAGGGAUAGCCUUCUCACCAAGGCGACAGAUAAACCGGCUCAAAGCGGCAAUCUGGCCUGCCAGGCGUUGAACAUCAUUGAUACACUUCGGUUUAGCCAAAGAAGUUAUAGCCUUGAUUUUCUCCGGAUUAGCUUCAAUGCCCCUGUUAGAUACAAGAAAGCCCAAGAGCUUGCCUGCCGGUACACCAAAGACACACUUGGCCGGAUUAAGCAUCAUUUUAUAAACCCGGAGGUUAUCAAAGGUCUCUUUCAAGUCAUCGAUCAAUGUUUCCUCCUUUCUGGAUUUCACCACAAUAUCAUCCACAUAAGCAUGAACAUUGCGACCGAUCUGAUUAUGAAGACAAUUCAGCACACAGCGUUGAUAAGUCGCCUGGGCACUCUUGAGCCCAAAAGGCAUAGAUACAUAACAGAAUGCUCCAAAGGGAGUUAUGAAAGCUGUCUUCUCCUGGUCCUUAGCUGCCAUUUUGAUCUGAUGAUAACCAGAAUAAGCAUCCAGAAAACUUAAACGCUCGCAACCCGCCGUAGCAUCAAUGAUUUGAUCAAUACGAGGGAGGGCAAAAGGAUCCGCUGGACAAGCCUUGUUUGAAUCUAUGUAGUCCACACACAUACGCCAAGUGCCUGAUACGUCUCCAACGUAUCUAUAAUUUUUUAUUGCUCCAUGCUAUAUUAUUUUCUGUUUUCGACAUUAUUGGGCUUUAUUAUUCACUUUUAUAUUAUUUUUGGGACUAACCUAUUAACCGGAGGCCCAGCCCAGAAUUGCUGUUUUUGCCUAUUUCAGAGUUUCGCAGAAAAAGAAUAUCAAACGGAGUCCAAACGGAAUGAAACCUUCGGGAACAUGAUUUUUGGAACGAACAUGAUCCAGAGGACUUGGAUCCUACGUCAAGAAAGCCACCAGGAAGCCACGAGGUAGGGGGGCGCGCCUACCCCCCCUCGGCGCGCCCUCCACACUCGUGGGCCCCACGUUGCUCCACCGACGUACUCCUUCCUCCUAUAUAUACCUACGUACCCCCAAACGAUCAGAUACAGAGCCAAAAACCUAAUUCCAC
This 37811-nucleotide long non-coding RNA is filed under the name Triticum aestivum (bread wheat). RNAcentral's name for it is "long non-coding RNA (TAES_LNC024921)". Lineage: Eukaryota; Viridiplantae; Streptophyta; Magnoliopsida; Poales; Poaceae. The record is from RNAcentral.